This 1310-nucleotide long non-coding RNA is filed under the name Homo sapiens (human). RNAcentral's name for it is "HSALNT0298745". The record is from RNAcentral. Lineage: Eukaryota; Metazoa; Chordata; Mammalia; Primates; Hominidae.
UCCCUGAGCCAGCCUCCGCUAUGAGCCUUUGCCUUGACCCCUUGAUCUAUUCUUAUUCACUUGGCAACAGUGAUUAAGCCACAGGAGGUUGCAGGUGCUGGAUCAGGCAACAGGGAAAGGAAGAUGAAUAGGAGACAGAUCCUGACCCAAAGAAGGAUGCAGUCGAGUUGGGGAAACAAAUACAUAAAUAAAUCAUUAUAAACCCAUGUGGCAAGUACAUGGGGCACCCAACGCACAGCAAUUUGCUCACUAAAGUAGGUGACAGAGGGGGCAACAUUGGGGCGAAGAGCUUGAAGAAAAUGGUGACGGUGUGGACGGUUAUUAAGGGGAAUCAUUCAGAGGACCAGGUCAAGUGGUUGCUGAGUGACACCAAAUGCCCCGCUGAGGCUGGGCCCCAGGCCAAUCUACAGGCCACUUGAUUUUUCUCCAGCAGGGCUCAGCUAUGAAGGCAUAUUGUGGGACUGUGGUCAGAAAGUGAAGCAUUGGAAGUGAAGAUUUCAGAAGAGGAGCUGCUCUGGGAACAAACACAGGGUCCAGCAUGUGCCCUGGGAAUGGACAGCAGACCAGGAGCCAAGGCAGGAGUCACAGGAAUUACAGAGGCACAGGGACUCCCCCUGUGGUAGGACAGCGGUUCCUGCAGACACUGCUGUCCUGGGACUGAAGUGGUUACGGCAGGAGUGGAAAGAAGGAAACUUGCCCUACUCCAUAGAAGCAGCAAGUCAUACGUUUUUAAAAAGAAACUCCGGUGGCAACGCAAGGAAUAGAUUGUAAAUGUGGAAGCUAGGGCCCAGGAAGCUGAGCGAGAGAUCAUGCAACAUUCCAGGCAAACCAUGAGAAGGGCCCGAUAGGAGGGGCAAUGAGGAGAAGCUGCAGAGACCAGACCUGAGAGGUACUGAGGAAGCAGAAUCAGUGGAGCAUGAUGCCGAAGUGAUUCCUGGAGACUCUGCCAGCAAGGCUCUUCCUCUAGCCACUGUAGUACCAAAGUAAAGGAGCACCAUGCUUGAACAUAUGGGUGCUCUCUCUCUCUAGGGACUUUAGAUCCUGAGCAAGCGACCACAUGGGUAGAAGCAACACAGUUAAUUCAUCCAAGCACGAAGAACCUGACCCAGACUAUUUCUACCACAAGAUUCUCCCUUCCAGCUUGGCUAUCUGUAAGUUUGAGAAGUCAACCUACCAAGUGACUAUUGACAUCUCCCUCCAGGAGAAUUUCAGUCCAUUGUUACUGAUUGGCAGAGUGCUUUGAGAUAUAACAGACGUGGUAAAUGAACUGAAAUGACAUCAAUUGAAAAAAAAUGUUACAAUUUCAUCUA